RNAcentral lists this long non-coding RNA (299 nucleotides) under Lathyrus oleraceus (garden pea). RNAcentral describes it as "Pisum sativum (pea) long non-coding RNA (PSAT_LNC012773)". Lineage: Eukaryota; Viridiplantae; Streptophyta; Magnoliopsida; Fabales; Fabaceae. The record is from RNAcentral.
GACAAUAUAAAUUUAUAUUUAAAAAUUCAUACACUACCAAGUAACAAAGAAAAUCAUCAUAUGUGGACAAUAAUUCCUCUUUAAUAUGUAAAAAUCAGAUUAGACAGAAGUGAAAUAAUAAACAUGAAACAAUAGCGUAAAAAAAUAUCAAAAAUAUUAUAAUGAAAAAAUAAGAGGAGAUAAAAUAUUAGUGAAGAAGAAAAAGAAAGACCAGAAAAGAUGGGAUAUUAGACAAGAAGAGUUGCGAUAAAAACGAAAUUGGAAGAGAGAACAUUUGCAUAAAAAUGAGAGGGUGAAAA